This 248-nucleotide ribosomal RNA is filed under the name uncultured Gardnerella sp. RNAcentral's name for it is "partial 16S ribosomal RNA". It matches the Rfam family "Bacterial small subunit ribosomal RNA", at positions 107 to 355 of the family's 1533-position model. The record is from RNAcentral. Lineage: Bacteria; Bacillati; Actinomycetota; Actinomycetes; Bifidobacteriales; Bifidobacteriaceae.
GGAGUAAUGCGUGACCAACCUGCCCCAUGCUCCAGAAUAGCUCUUGGAAACGGGUGGUAAUGCUGGAUGCUCCAACUUGACGCAUGUCUUGUUGGGAAAGUGUUUAGUGGCAUGGGAUGGGAUCGCGUCCUAUCAGCUUGUAGGCGGGGUAAUGGCCCACCUAGGCUUCGACGGGUAGCCGGCCUGAGAGGGCGGACGGCCACAUUGGGACUGAGAUACGGCCCAGACUCCUACGGGAGGCAGCAGUC